CCUACGGGUGGCAGCAGUGGGGAAUAUUGCACAAUGGGCGAAAGCCUGAUGCAGCAACGCCGCGUGAGCGAUGAAGGCCUUCGGGUCGUAAAGCCCUGUCAUCAAGGAAGAAAAUGACGGUACCUGAAGAGGAAGCCCCGGCUAACUACGUGCCAGCAGCCGCGGUAAUACGUAGGGGGCUAGCGUUAUCCGGAAUUACUGGGUGUAAAGGGUGCGUAGGUGGGUUCUUAAGUCAGAGGUGAAAGGCUGGGGCUCAACCUUAGUAAGGCUUUGAAACUGGGAAGCUUGAGUGCAGGAGAGGUGAGCGGAAUUCCUAGUGUAGCGGUGAAAUGCGUAGAUAUUAGGAGGAACACCAGUUGCGAAGGCGGCUUUCUGGACUGUAACUGACACUGAGGCACGAAAGCGUGGGGAGCAAACAGGAUUAGAUACCCCUGUAGUC
Molecule: ribosomal RNA, 439 nt
Filed under: uncultured bacterium
Lineage: Bacteria
Description: partial 16S ribosomal RNA
Rfam family: Bacterial small subunit ribosomal RNA
Source: RNAcentral